UUCCGCUCCAUAGCGUAUAUUAAAGUUGUUGCAGUUAAAAAGCUCGUAGUUGAAUUUCGGGGUCAGUAGGUUGGUCAUGCCACUGGUAUGUACUGGUCUCACUGAUUCCUCCUUCCUGAUGAGCCGUAAUGCCAUUAAUUUGGUGUUGCGAGGAAUCUGGACUGUUACUUUGAAAAAAUUAGAGUGUUUAAAGCAGGCUAACGCUUGAAUACAUUAGCAUGGAAUAAUGAAAUAGGACGUUCGAUCUUAUUUUGUUGGUUUCUAAGAUUGACGUAAUGAUUAAUAGGGAUAGUUGGGGGCAUUAGUAUUCAAUUGUCAGAGGUGAAAUUCUUGGAUUUAUUGAAGACUAACUACUGCGAAAGCAUUUGCCAAGGAUGUUUUCAUUAAUCAAGAACGAAAGUUAGGGGAUCGAAGACGAUCAGAUACCGUCGUAGUCUUAACCAUAAACUAUGCCGACUAGGGAUCGGAUGAUGUUAAUUUUUUAAUGACUCAUUCGGCGCCUUACGGGAAACA
This 513-nucleotide ribosomal RNA is filed under the name uncultured Glomus. Its description in RNAcentral is "SSU rRNA". It matches the Rfam family "Eukaryotic small subunit ribosomal RNA", at positions 584 to 1099 of the family's 1831-position model. Lineage: Eukaryota; Fungi; Glomeromycota; Glomeromycetes; Glomerales; Glomeraceae. The record is from RNAcentral.